Tyto alba (common barn owl) is the source of this 46-nucleotide non-coding RNA. The record is from Rfam. NCBI's taxonomy places the organism in Eukaryota, Metazoa, Chordata, Aves, Strigiformes, Tytonidae.
CCUCAGGUUUUAUUAAAAACCAUGAAUAAACUAGACUCAGAAUUUU